Molecule: non-coding RNA, 463 nt
Organism: Trichechus manatus latirostris (Florida manatee)
Lineage: Eukaryota; Metazoa; Chordata; Mammalia; Sirenia; Trichechidae
Source: the annotation of a RefSeq genome assembly
UCCAUUUCAGACCCCAGAGCUGUGUCUUUUGUGAGCCCUAUAAGGAGGAAGAAUGGAGAAACUCCUGGGAGUGUCUUUGGUGAUUCUAUGGCUUCAACUGGCCAGGGUGAACAGCCAAGUAGAACAGAAUCCUGAGACUCUGCCUAUCCAGGAAGGUGAAAAUGCCACCAAGAGCUGCAGUUAUAAAACUAGUAUAGACAGCUUACAGUGGUAUAGACAAGAUUCAGGUAGAGGCUUUGUCCUACUAAUUUUAAUACGUUCAAAUGAGAAGGAGACAUCUGCUGGAAGACUAAGAGCCACACUAGAUAUCAACAGCAAAAGGAGUUUCCUGUUCAUCACCACUUCCCAAGCUGCAGACACUGCUGCUUACUUCUGCGCGAUAGAUACACAGUGUUUACCAGGCACCUGCAGCUCUUACACAAACCUGCCAGAGCUGCCACUUACUUAGAUGCCCUAACAGUGG